CAGUCGUACCGGCGGGUAAUCAGCCUUUUGGGUGUGAUUAUGUGGGGCGUGAGGAGUUAGAUCGCAUUGAAAGGGAAACGAUUGAAGUCAGUCGUACUGGCGGGCAAUCAGCCUUUUGGGUGUGAUUAUGUGGGGCGUGAGGAGUUAAUCACCCUCAUCUUUACAUAUUCGUGCACUUUGGGUGUACUUGCUCGUGUGGUAGGUUAACAUCAAUUUUGAUCGUCAUAAAAUGAUCGGAGGAAUGUAGCUUCGAUCUUGUAUUGAAGUGUUAUAGCCUUCGGUAGAUGUGAUGAUUGGGAUUGAGGAUUGCAACGGAUACCCUUCGGGGCUACCUGUCUGAUCUCUGAAAGUUGCUCUGGUGCCGAAAGCUUGCUUACGGUAUUAAAGUUGACGUUCAACAGGUUAGAACGGGAUAAA
RNAcentral lists this ribosomal RNA (417 nucleotides) under Glomeraceae sp. Its description in RNAcentral is "partial large subunit ribosomal RNA". The record is from RNAcentral. Lineage: Eukaryota; Fungi; Glomeromycota; Glomeromycetes; Glomerales; Glomeraceae.